CCUAUAUGUAAAAUAUAUGUUAUAUGUAUGGUUUUUGAGAUCUUACAGAGGAGAAAAAAAUAUAUACUUAUAUAUAGAGGCCACAAACCAAAUUCAUACCAGGGCUUGGGAUUUCUCUUGGUAUCACUGGCCAUAGAGAGUUUAUUGAGUGGUUUGCAAAAAUCAGGCAACUGGAAUUCUAGCUCAGAGAUUAAAAAAAGGAAGAUAAAUUUCUUAUGUUUAGCUUUAACUUUUAAAAAUUAUUAUUUUUUCACCAUUUGAGUAUGUUAUGUGGGGUGAAAUAUAUCUUCCACAUUGAUUGAAAAAAUUAUAUUCGAAAGGAGUAUUCAUUGAC
Molecule: long non-coding RNA, 334 nt
Filed under: Androctonus crassicauda
Lineage: Eukaryota; Metazoa; Arthropoda; Arachnida; Scorpiones; Buthidae
Source: RNAcentral